Molecule: ribosomal RNA, 253 nt
Filed under: uncultured bacterium
Lineage: Bacteria
Description: partial 16S ribosomal RNA
Rfam family: Bacterial small subunit ribosomal RNA
Source: RNAcentral
UACGAAGGGGGCUAGCGUUGUUCGGAAUUACUGGGCGUAAAGCGUGCGCAGGCGGCUCAUCAAGUCAGAGGUGAAAGCCCAGGGCUCAACCCUGGAACUGCCUUUGAAACUGUUGGGCUUGAGUACGGGAGAGGUGAGUGGAAUUUCCGGUGUAGCGGUGAAAUGCGUAGAUAUCGGAAGGAACACCUGUGGCGAAAGCGGCUCACUGGACCAUAACUGACGCUGAUGCACGAAAGCUAGGGGAGCAAACAGG